CAAGGGGUGGUUUAAUUUUAAAAUGCUAACUUUGGAGGUUAUUGAUGGGGGUGUGAGGCCUUUUCCCUUGA
This 71-nucleotide transfer RNA is filed under the name Cryptotermes secundus. RNAcentral's name for it is "tRNA-Pro". It matches the Rfam family "tRNA". Rfam says of the family: Transfer RNA (tRNA) molecules are approximately 80 nucleotides in length. Their secondary structure includes four short double-helical elements and three loops (D, anti-codon, and T loops). Lineage: Eukaryota; Metazoa; Arthropoda; Insecta; Blattodea; Kalotermitidae. The record is from RNAcentral.